This 73-nucleotide transfer RNA is filed under the name Vanderwaltozyma polyspora. Its description in RNAcentral is "transfer RNA-Val". It matches the Rfam family "tRNA". From Rfam's summary of the family: Transfer RNA (tRNA) molecules are approximately 80 nucleotides in length. Their secondary structure includes four short double-helical elements and three loops (D, anti-codon, and T loops). RNAcentral also lists the same sequence under 1 other name. The record is from RNAcentral. Lineage: Eukaryota; Fungi; Ascomycota; Saccharomycetes; Saccharomycetales; Saccharomycetaceae.
GCUCUUGUAGUGUAGUGGCUAUCACGUUACCUUCACACGGUAAAGGUCCUGAGUUCGAACCUCAGCUGGAGCA